Molecule: ribosomal RNA, 253 nt
Filed under: uncultured bacterium
Lineage: Bacteria
Description: partial 16S ribosomal RNA
Rfam family: Bacterial small subunit ribosomal RNA
Source: RNAcentral
UACAGAGGAUGCAAGCGUUAUCCGGAAUGAUUGGGCGUAAAGCGUCUGUAGGUGGCUUUUUAAGUCCGCCGUCAAAUCCCAGGGCUCAACUCUGGACAGGCGGUGGAAACUACCAAGCUGGAGUACGGUAGGGGCAGAGGGAAUUUCCGGUGGAGCGGUGAAAUGCGUAGAGAUCCGGAGGAACACCGACGGCGUAAGCAGCGCCCUAAACGAGUACUGACGCUCAGGCACGAAAGCUGGGGGAGCAAACAGG